This 497-nucleotide ribosomal RNA is filed under the name uncultured bacterium. Its description in RNAcentral is "partial 16S ribosomal RNA". It matches the Rfam family "Bacterial small subunit ribosomal RNA", at positions 28 to 507 of the family's 1533-position model. The record is from RNAcentral.
GAUGAACGCUGGCGGCGUGCCUAAUACAUGCAAGUCGAGCGAACAGACGAGGAGCUUGCUCCUCUGACGUUAGCGGCGGACGGGUGAGUAACACGUGGAUAACCUACCUAUAAGACUGGGAUAACUUCGGGAAACCGGAGCUAAUACCGGAUAAUAUAUUGAACCGCAUGGUUCAAUAGUGAAAGACGGCUUUGCUGUCACUUAUAGAUGGAUCCGCGCCGCAUUAGCUAGUUGGUAAGGUAACGGCUUACCAAGGCGACGAUGCGUAGCCGACCUGAGAGGGUGAUCGGCCACACUGGAACUGAGACACGGUCCAGACUCCUACGGGAGGCAGCAGUAGGCAAUCUGCCGCAAUGGGCGAAAGCUUGACGGAGCAACGCCGCGUGAGAGAUGAAGGUCUUCGGAUCGUAAAACUCUGUUAUUAGGGAAGAACAAAUGUGUAAGUAACUAUGCACGUCUUGACGGUACCUAAUCAGAAAGCCACGGCUAACUACGUG